Molecule: non-coding RNA, 93 nt
Organism: Marchantia polymorpha subsp. ruderalis
Lineage: Eukaryota; Viridiplantae; Streptophyta; Marchantiopsida; Marchantiales; Marchantiaceae
Source: the annotation of a GenBank genome assembly
UGAAAUCUUGGGAAGAAGGCAGAAGGUUACGAAUGCUCACAGGAUAAUACUUUCUGCAGUAUUGUAGAGUUUUGCUUUCUUCCCAGAUUUUCU